Long non-coding RNA from Melanotaenia boesemani (Boeseman's rainbowfish), 95 nucleotides. RefSeq lists it as uncharacterized. Lineage: Eukaryota; Metazoa; Chordata; Actinopteri; Atheriniformes; Melanotaeniidae. The record is from RefSeq and is a predicted model, not a curated record. The transcript has 3 exons.
AAAUAUUUUGUACAGGACCGACAACACCACAGUGGUGGCGUAUAUCAACAGACAAGGUGGUCUGCGCUCACGUCAUCUGCACACGUUGGCACACA